RNAcentral lists this ribosomal RNA (253 nucleotides) under uncultured bacterium. RNAcentral's name for it is "partial 16S ribosomal RNA". It matches the Rfam family "Bacterial small subunit ribosomal RNA", at positions 524 to 776 of the family's 1533-position model. The record is from RNAcentral.
UACGUAGGGUGCGAGCGUUAAUCGGAAUUACUGGGCGUAAAGGGUGCGCAGGCGGCUUGCUAAGACAGGUGUGAAAGCCCCGGGCUUAACCUGGGAAUUGCGCUUGUGACUGGCAGACUGGAGUGUGGCAGAGGGAGGUGGAAUUCCACGUGUAGCAGUGAAAUGCGUAGAGAUGUGGAGGAACACCGAUGGCGAAGGCAGCCUCCUGGGCCAGCACUGACGCUCAUGCACGAAAGCGUGGGGAGCAAACAGG